UACGGGGGGAGCAAGCGUUGUUCGGAUUUACUGGGCGUAAAGGGCGCGUAGGCGGUCGUGACAAGUCACUUGUGAAAUCUCCGGGCUUAACUCGGAACGGUCAAGUGAUACUGUCGGACUAGAGUACAGAAGGGGCAACUGGAAUUCUCGGUGUAGCGGUGAAAUGCGUAGAUAUCGGGAGGAACACCGGUGGCGAAGGCGGCUCACUGGUCCGGUACUGACGCUGAGGUGCGAAAGCGUGGGGGAGCAAACAGG
RNAcentral lists this ribosomal RNA (255 nucleotides) under uncultured bacterium. RNAcentral's name for it is "partial 16S ribosomal RNA". It matches the Rfam family "Bacterial small subunit ribosomal RNA", at positions 524 to 776 of the family's 1533-position model. The record is from RNAcentral.